GACGAACGCUGGCGGCGUGCUUAACACAUGCAAGUCGAACGAGAAUCUGUGGAUCGAGGAUUCGUCCAAGUGAAGCAGAGGACAGUGGCGGACGGGUGAGUAACGCGUGAGGAACCUGCCUUUCAGAGGGGGACAACAGUUGGAAACGACUGCUAAUACCGCAUGAUACGUAUUGGGGGCAUCCCUGAGACGUCAAAGAUUUAUCGCUGAAAGAUGGCCUCGCGUCUGAUUAGCUGGUUGGUGAGGUAACGGCCCACCAAGGCGACGAUCAGUAGCCGGACUGAGAGGUUGAACGGCCACAUUGGGACUGAGAUACGGCCCAGACUCCUACGGGAGGCAGCAGUGGGGAAUAUUGGGCAAUGGGGGAAACCCUGACCCAGCAACGCCGCGUGAAGGAAGAAGGCUUUCGGGUUGUAAACUUCUUUUACCAGGACGAAGGACGUGACGGUACCUGGAGAAAAAGCCACGGCUAACUACGUG
Molecule: ribosomal RNA, 480 nt
Filed under: uncultured bacterium
Lineage: Bacteria
Description: bacterial SSU rRNA
Rfam family: Bacterial small subunit ribosomal RNA
Source: RNAcentral